Non-coding RNA from Bombyx mori (domestic silkworm), 85 nucleotides. Lineage: Eukaryota; Metazoa; Arthropoda; Insecta; Lepidoptera; Bombycidae. The record is from Rfam.
UUAACUCAAAUUUGUAUGGAGUUGGAACAGCGCCCCUAGCGGCAAACGCAGGCAAACGUUCCAACUCCAUACAAAUUAAGAGUUA